Molecule: ribosomal RNA, 446 nt
Filed under: uncultured bacterium
Lineage: Bacteria
Description: partial 16S ribosomal RNA
Rfam family: Bacterial small subunit ribosomal RNA
Source: RNAcentral
CCUACGGGAGGCUGCAGUAGGGAAUUUUCGGCAAUGGGGGGAACCCUGACCGAGCAACGCCGCGUGAACGAAGAAGUUAUUCGUAAUGUAAAGUUCUUUUAACAGGGAAGAAAGAGAAAUUUGACGGUACCUGAAGAAUAAGCUCCGGCUAACUACGUGCCAGCGGCCGCGGUAAUACGUAGGGAGCGAGCGUUAUCGGGAAUUAUUGGGCGUAAAGGAUGCGUAGAUGGCAUAGUAGGUCUUGUGUAAAAAUGCUGGGCUCAAGCGAGUAGGGCAAAAGAUACUGCAAAGCUAGAGUAUGACAGAGGCGAGUGGAACUACAGGUGUAGCAGUAAAAUGCGUAAAUAUAUGUAGGAACACCAGUGGCGAAGGCGGCUAGCUGGGUCGAUACUGACAUUGAGGCACGAAAGCGUGGGGAGCAAACAGGAUUAGAUACCCGGGUAGUC